Molecule: non-coding RNA, 759 nt
Filed under: Mukaria splendida
Lineage: Eukaryota; Metazoa; Arthropoda; Insecta; Hemiptera; Cicadellidae
Source: RNAcentral
AAAAAGUUUUAUUCUGGCUUUUAUAUUAAUUAAUUUUCUUAAAUUUAUAUGGAUUUACAUAAUAAAUUAAAAUUUUCCAUUAAUUAAUAUUAUCAUAAUAAUAUAUUUAUUGAUUUAGUUAAAGAAUUAUAGUAGAUUAAAUUUGUGCCAGCAUUCGCGGUUAGACAAUUUACUUAAGUUAAUUUAUUAAAAUUUUAUUAUUUAUAAUUUUAUUGGAUUUAUUAUAUUAAUAUUUAGGUGGAAUUUAUAUUAAUAGAUUUCAUUCUUAGGAUUAAAUUUGAUAUAUGUUUAUAUUAAACUAGGAUUAGAUACCCUAUUAUAGAAUUAAAUAUUAUUUAAGUUUUAGAAUACUAAAAGUUAUGUUAUUUGAAGCUCAAAGAAUUUGGCGGUAAAAUAAAUCUUUUUAGAGGAACCUGUAAUUUAAUUGAUAAACCACAAUAAUUUUUACUUUUAUUUUAAUUUGUAUAUCGCUAUUUAUUAGAAUGUUUCUUAAGAAUAUUUUCUUUAAAAUUAAUUUUUUAUGUUAGGUCAAGAUACAGUUUUAUAAAAGUUUUUAUGGGUUACUUUAAUAAUAAAUUAAUAAUUUUCUUUUAUUAUAUAUAAUUAAAUAUUAUUAGGAUUUAAUAGUAAAUUAAUUUAAUUAAUUUAAUUGAAUUUUGCUCUAUUUUAUGUACAUAUCGCCCGUCAUUCCUAAAAUUAAUUUAGGACAAGUCGUAACAAAGUAAUUUUACCGGAAGGUGAGGUUAGAAUAUAUUAGAA